ACGCCUAUAGCUUAAUGGAAAAAGCGCUAUCCUCCGAAGAUAGAUAUUCUAGGUUCAAAUCCUGGUAGGCGUA
This 73-nucleotide transfer RNA is filed under the name Candidatus Westeberhardia cardiocondylae. Its description in RNAcentral is "transfer RNA Arginine". It matches the Rfam family "tRNA". From Rfam's summary of the family: Transfer RNA (tRNA) molecules are approximately 80 nucleotides in length. The record is from RNAcentral. Lineage: Bacteria; Pseudomonadati; Pseudomonadota; Gammaproteobacteria; Enterobacterales; Enterobacteriaceae.